UGGUUGUCGUCAGCUCGUGUCGUGAGAUGUUGGGUUAAGUCCCGCAACGAGCGCAACCCUUGCCAUUAGUUGCUACGAAAGGGCACUCUAAUGGGACUGCCGGUGACAAACCGGAGGAAGGUGGGGAUGACGUCAAGUCCUCAUGGCCCUUAUAGGUGGGGCUACACACGUCAUACAAUGGCCGGUACAGAGGGUAGCCAACCCGCGAGGGGGAGCCAAUCCCACAAAGCCGGUCGUAGUCCGGAUCGCAGUCUGCAACUCGACUGCGUGAAGUCGGAAUCGCUAGUAAUCGCGGAUCAGCAUGUCGCGGUGAAUACGUUCCCGGGUCUU
RNAcentral lists this ribosomal RNA (330 nucleotides) under uncultured Allobrachymonas sp. Its description in RNAcentral is "bacterial SSU rRNA". It matches the Rfam family "Bacterial small subunit ribosomal RNA", at positions 1046 to 1382 of the family's 1533-position model. Lineage: Bacteria; Pseudomonadati; Pseudomonadota; Betaproteobacteria; Burkholderiales; Comamonadaceae. The record is from RNAcentral.